CGAGGCGAUACCUAAUUUCUUUUUGUUUCAAUAUUUCCUUCUUCUCCAAUUUAUUGCGCUAAAGAUUCUUAAUUUUUCUUGCAUUCUGCUUCUACUCGCAUUCAAUUUCUCUGGGUGCUCUGUUCAGCUUUCUAUUGCCUUCGAUCAUUGUACGGCUUGGACGCUAUUUGGGUUUUCCGUUCUUGCGAUCGAUAGCGCAAAUUUCUUGCCAACUCAAAGGUGCCGUUUGGAUUCCGUUUGGUGUUUUGUUUCUUAAGUCGAUCGAUUGGGGUUGGCUGUGGAGCGCGGAUUUGGCUUUGGGUUUAGGUGUGUGAAGAGUGAGGAUUUUUAUUAAAAAAAAAAAUUUACAUUCUGUGAUGAGAAUCGUAAUCAGAGAAUGAACGAUGCCGGUGCUGCGUAGCGGAGCGCGCAGGGGCCGGGGAGCAGCAGCAAAGCAACAGGCAAAUCCGACUGAGGCAGGGGAGGCGAUCGCAACAAGGACACGCAGAAGGCGCGCGGAAGCAGCUGCUGCGGGGGCUGCACCUAAAAAUAAUAAUACUAACAACAAUAACGAUAAGGACCAGCAGCAACCGGUGGAUGAAAACGUAGUUGCUGUUGCUGCAGUCGUGGCAGCGGCGGGGAAGGGGGAACACCACGGGGUAAAUAGGGGUGUAGAAGGGGGAGUGGCGGUUGCUGGUGUUGGCGCUAUUGGUGGAGGGGCGGAAAAGAAGGAGGAAGUAGGAGAAAAGCUUAUGGACGACUACGAUAGUGGCGGGGGGAGGAANNNNNNNNNNUAAAGCCAAUGCUGGUGAAGAUGAGGGGAGCACUGCUCCACUUCCUGAGAAGGUUCAGUUUGGCGGUUCCCCAGUUUACAAAUUAGAAAAAAAGUUGGGCAAGGGUGGCUUUGGUCAAGUGUAUGUUGGUCGACGCCUUUCUCCUCUUACUUCAAAUGAUAGAACUGGACCUGGAGCUGUAGAGGUGGCCUUAAAAUUUGAGCAUAGAAGUAGUAAGGGAUGUAACUAUGGACCACCACAUGAGUGGCAAGUUUAUAGCUUUCUUGGGGGCAGUCAUGGAAUACCACGAGUACACUACAAGGGUCGACAAGGUGACUACUAUGUCAUGGUUAUGGA
RNAcentral lists this unclassified non-coding RNA (1109 nucleotides) under Hevea brasiliensis (rubber tree). Lineage: Eukaryota; Viridiplantae; Streptophyta; Magnoliopsida; Malpighiales; Euphorbiaceae. The record is from RNAcentral.